RNAcentral lists this transfer RNA (87 nucleotides) under Nitrospiraceae bacterium. RNAcentral's name for it is "tRNA-Ser". It matches the Rfam family "tRNA". From Rfam's summary of the family: Transfer RNA (tRNA) molecules are approximately 80 nucleotides in length. Their secondary structure includes four short double-helical elements and three loops (D, anti-codon, and T loops). The record is from RNAcentral. Lineage: Bacteria; Pseudomonadati; Nitrospirota; Nitrospiria; Nitrospirales; Nitrospiraceae.
GGAGGGGUGGCCGAGUGGUUGAAGGCGACGGUCUUGAAAAUCGUUGUAGGCUCACGCCUACCGAGAGUUCGAAUCUCUCCCCCUCCG